GCGGGUGUCGUACAGUGGCAGUACACCAGCUUCCCAAGCUGGAUGCGAGGGUUCGAUUCCCUUCACCCGCU
RNAcentral lists this transfer RNA (71 nucleotides) under bacterium. RNAcentral describes it as "tRNA-Gly". It matches the Rfam family "tRNA". Rfam says of the family: Transfer RNA (tRNA) molecules are approximately 80 nucleotides in length. Their secondary structure includes four short double-helical elements and three loops (D, anti-codon, and T loops). Further hydrogen bonds mediate the characteristic L-shaped molecular structure. tRNAs have two regions of fundamental functional importance: the anti-codon, which is responsible for specific mRNA codon recognition, and the 3' end, to which the tRNAs corresponding amino acid is attached (by aminoacyl-tRNA synthetases). tRNAs cope with the degeneracy of the genetic code in two manners: having more than one tRNA (with a specific anti-codon) for a particular amino acid; and 'wobble' base-pairing, i.e. permitting non-standard base-pairing at the 3rd anti-codon position. The record is from RNAcentral.